Molecule: ribosomal RNA, 397 nt
Filed under: Salmonella enterica subsp. enterica serovar Infantis
Lineage: Bacteria; Pseudomonadati; Pseudomonadota; Gammaproteobacteria; Enterobacterales; Enterobacteriaceae
Also listed under: 2 other names
Description: partial 23S ribosomal RNA
Rfam family: Bacterial large subunit ribosomal RNA
Source: RNAcentral
AGACCCGAAACCCGGUGAUCUAGCCAUGGGCAGGUUGAAGGUUGGGUAACACUAACUGGAGGACCGAACCGACUAAUGUUGAAAAAUUAGCGGAUGACCUGUGGCUGGGGGUGAAAGGCCAAUCAAACCGGGAGAUAGCUGGUUCUCCCCGAAAGCUAUUUAGGUAGCGCCUCGUGAAUUCAUCUCCGGGGGUAGAGCACUGUUUCGGCUAGGGGGCCAUCCCGGCUUACCAACCCGAUGCAAACUGCGAAUACCGGAGAAUGUUAUCACGGGAGACACACGGCGGGUGCUAACGUCCGUCGUGAAGAGGGAAACAACCCAGACCGCCAGCUAAGGUCCCAAAGUCAUGGUUAAGUGGGAAACGAUGUGGGAAGGCCCAGACAGCCAGGAUGUUGGC